GUCAUUCCUAGCUUGAGCAAGGUUGGAAAAUAUAAUGUUUCUUCAACAUUUCCAAAUAAAAUAGCGGUGUGGAAGUAAAGAAGAAGAGACCACGGGGAUUAGGCAGGCAACCUGUGAUGUCUUGCAGAGGCGGCACACUGUCCACAUCAGCGCCCUCUGAGACAUUGCUUCUCCUCAAGUCCUCAGGUGCUGGUAGCCCAUUGCUAGGUUUUUCUGGCUACCUUGAGUGGAAGAGAAGGAGAUGAGAAAAAUACUCCUUUCAGACUGGGGGUGUAGCUACAGCAGACUGUGGAAAUUUUGGAGUGGAUCAGAAAAAGAAGCAUGGCAUGUCAGUAGCUGUUUUGCUAUUAACCAGCAGUGGUGUUGGGGGCAAGUCAUUUAAACUCUCUAUGCCAUGGUUUCCUUAUUUGUAAAAUGAAGGGUUAAGACAGAGAACUCAGCUCAAUAUUAUAUAGCAAAUAUGGGAAAAGAAUUUGAAAAGGAGUGUAUACAUGUGUAUGUAUAACUGAAUCACUUUUUUGUACACCUGAAACUAUCACAACAUUGUUAAUCAACUAUGUUUCAAUAUAAAAUAAAAAGUUUUUUUUUUAAAGACACAAUAGCCCAUAAGCUUUGGUCCCCAUCUUAUGACCAAUGAUCCAACUUUUCUCAUCCAAAAGUAUAUGAAGUAUGGCAGGAUAUUCUACAGCUCACGAGGGUUUAAAUAAUAUUUCAAAUAAAAUAAAAACUG
This is a long non-coding RNA of Cervus elaphus (red deer), 730 nucleotides long. RefSeq lists it as uncharacterized. Lineage: Eukaryota; Metazoa; Chordata; Mammalia; Artiodactyla; Cervidae. The transcript is spliced from 3 exons. The record is from RefSeq and is a predicted model, not a curated record.